GACGAACGCUGGCGGCGUGCUUAACACAUGCAAGUCGAACGGAAAGGCCCCUUUGGGGGUACUCGAGUGGCGAACGGGUGAGUAACACGUGAGUAACCUGCCCUUGACUUCGGGAUAACUUCAGGAAACUGGGGCUAAUACCGGAUAGGAAUCCUUGCUGCAUGGUGGGGGUUGGAAAGCUUCGGCGGUUUUGGAUGGUCUCGCGGCUUAUCAGCUUGUUGGUGGGGUAGUGGCUUACCAAGGCUUUGACGGGUAGCCGGCCUGAGAGGGCGACCGGCCACAUUGGGACUGAGAUACGGCCCAGACUCCUACGGGAGGCAGCAGUGGGGAAUAUUGCACAAUGGGCGGAAGCCUGAUGCAGCAACGCCGCGUGCGGGAUGACGGCCUUCGGGUUGUAAACCGCUUUCAGCAGGGGCGAAGCUUUUGUGACGGUACCUGCAGAAGAAGCACCGGCUAACUACGUG
Molecule: ribosomal RNA, 464 nt
Filed under: uncultured bacterium
Lineage: Bacteria
Description: partial 16S ribosomal RNA
Rfam family: Bacterial small subunit ribosomal RNA
Source: RNAcentral